RNAcentral lists this long non-coding RNA (814 nucleotides) under Piliocolobus tephrosceles (Ugandan red Colobus). RNAcentral's name for it is "lncRNA (ENSPTEG00000023655.1)". The record is from RNAcentral. Lineage: Eukaryota; Metazoa; Chordata; Mammalia; Primates; Cercopithecidae.
AACUUUUAAAAAUUGUAUACACAAAGCAUAUAUACAUAUGGUAUUCAUGUGUGUAUGUAUACGCGUGUGUUUAUGCAUUUUUACGUUUACAUAAUACUAGUUUAAUUUUUUAAUCUCUUUCUAAUAAUAACAGAAACAUUCUGUAUUUAAUAAUGUAAAAACAAGUACACAAACUGUAUCUUAUUGUUUUUUUAGUGACAAUUGAUAAAAAUAGUAUAAAAAAUCCAGUUUUUAGUAUUUUUGAAAAACCUUCAAUUCCGUUUACUCCAGAUAAUAAAUACAACUCAAUUAGCUACGGUUACAAAAGAGAAAAAACUAUUUUUUUUUUUUUUUUACCACUAUAUAAAAUUAUGUAGCUGUUUAAUUAUAGUUUUUUUUCUAAUAUUAUAAUUCAUUUUUAUAAUUUGUACUUUUUUUAUUUCAUAUUUUUUUUUUUUUUCUUUUCUUUUUUAAAACCAUACAUAUAUAUAACACAAUACUGUGUGUAUAUAUUUUACUUUAGGACGAAUGGCAUAUUUUUUAGUAUUCGAUCUUACAAAUGAAGAAACAUUUGAAUAUGUUAAGACAAUUUAUUUAAACAUGUCAAAUAUUUAUGAUAAAUAUUAUUCUCUAAAGCCGUUUAUAUCUCUUGUUGGAAAUAAAUCAGAUUUGGUAAAGAAGAUUGUGAAUUAGUUAGGCAAGCAGAACACUUCGCGUGAGUAUAGUUUUUAAUUAUUAUUUAACUUAAAAAAAUAUAUAACAUAUAAACAUAUGCAUAUAAACAUGUACAUAUAAACAUAUACAUAUACAUAAAUAUAUAUAUACGUAUUAACAU